Molecule: RNase P RNA, 390 nt
Filed under: Nocardioides panacis
Lineage: Bacteria; Bacillati; Actinomycetota; Actinomycetes; Propionibacteriales; Nocardioidaceae
Description: Bacterial RNase P class A
Rfam family: Bacterial RNase P class A
About the family: Ribonuclease P (RNase P) is a ubiquitous endoribonuclease, found in archaea, bacteria and eukarya as well as chloroplasts and mitochondria.
Source: Rfam by way of RNAcentral
UGAGCCGGCCGGGCGGCCGCGGCGAGGAGACUCGUCGAGGAAGGUCCGGGCUCCACAGGGCAAGGUGGUGGGUAACUCCCACCCGGGGUGACCCGCGGGACAGUGCCACAGAGAACAGACCGCCACCGUGCCUGCACGGUGGUAAGGGUGAAACGGUGGUGUAAGAGACCACCAGCGCUCCGGGCGACCGGAGCGGCUCGGUAAACCCCACCUGGAGCAAGGUCAAGAAGGGAAGCUCGCUUCCCGCGUGAGCGUUCGAGGGCGGCCCGCCCGAGCUCACGGGUAGACCGCACGAGGCUGUCGGCAACGGCAGCCCUAGAUGGAUGGUCGCCGACCGUGGCGCCGCGAGGCGCGCGGAGACAGAACCCGGCCUACAGGCCGGCUCAUCCC